AUUGAACGCUGGCGGCAGGCCUAACACAUGCAAGUCGAGCGGAUGAAGGGAGCUUGCUCCUGGAUUCAGCGGCGGACGGGUGAGUAAUGCCUAGGAAUCUGCCUGGUAGUGGGGGAUAACGUCCUGAAACGGGCGCUAAUACCGCAUACGUCCUGAGGGAGAAAGUGGGGGAUCUUCGGACCUCACGCUAUCAGAUGAGCCUAGGUCGGAUUAGCUAGUUGGUGGGGUAAAGGCCUACCAAGGCGACGAUCCGUAACUGGUCUGAGAGGAUGAUCAGUCACACUGGAAGUGAGACACGGUCCAGACUCCUACGGGAGGCAGCAGUGGGGAAUAUUGGACAAUGGGCGAAAGCAUGAUCCAGCCAUGCCGCGUGUGUGAAGAAGGUCUUCGGAUUGUAAAGCACUUUAAGUUGGGAGGAAGGGAAGUAAGUUAAUACCUUGCUGUUUUGACGUUACCAACAGAAUAAGCACCGGCUAACUUCGUG
Molecule: ribosomal RNA, 484 nt
Filed under: uncultured bacterium
Lineage: Bacteria
Description: partial 16S ribosomal RNA
Rfam family: Bacterial small subunit ribosomal RNA
Source: RNAcentral